CACUCCUACGGGAGGCAGCAGUGGGGAAUUUUGGACAAUGGGCGAAAGCCUGAUCCAGCAAUGCCGCGUGUGUGAAGAAGGCCUUCGGGUUGUAAAGCACUUUUGUCCGGAAAGAAAUCCUUGGCUCUAAUACAGUCGGGGGAUGACGGUACCGGAAGAAUAAGCACCGGCUAACUACGUGCCAGCAGCCGCGGUAAUACGUAGGGUGCGAGCGUUAAUCGGAAUUACUGGGCGUAAAGCGUGCGCAGGCGGUUUGCUAAGACCGAUGUGAAAUCCCCGGGCUCAACCUGGGAACUGCAUUGAUGACUGGCAGGCUAGAGUAUGGCAGAGGGGGGUAGAAUUCCACGUGUAGCAGUGAAAUGCGUAGAGAUGUGGAGGAAUACCGAUGGCGAAGGCAGCCCCCUGGGCCAAUACUGACGCUCAUGCACGAAAGCGUGGGGAGCAAACAGGAUUAGAUACCCGAGUAGUCCCAUGA
Molecule: ribosomal RNA, 475 nt
Filed under: uncultured organism
Description: partial 16S ribosomal RNA
Rfam family: Bacterial small subunit ribosomal RNA
Source: RNAcentral